GCGGUUGUGGCGAAGCGGUUUAACGCACCUGACUGUGAAUCAGGCAUGCACGGGUUCAAAUCCCGUCAAUCGCC
This 74-nucleotide transfer RNA is filed under the name Mycoplasmoides gallisepticum str. R(low). Its description in RNAcentral is "Mycoplasma gallisepticum str. R(low) tRNA". It matches the Rfam family "tRNA". Rfam says of the family: Transfer RNA (tRNA) molecules are approximately 80 nucleotides in length. Their secondary structure includes four short double-helical elements and three loops (D, anti-codon, and T loops). Lineage: Bacteria; Bacillati; Mycoplasmatota; Mycoplasmoidales; Mycoplasmoidaceae. The record is from Rfam by way of RNAcentral.